Molecule: ribosomal RNA, 253 nt
Filed under: uncultured bacterium
Lineage: Bacteria
Description: partial 16S ribosomal RNA
Rfam family: Bacterial small subunit ribosomal RNA
Source: RNAcentral
UACGUAGGGUGCAAGCGUUAUCCGGAAUUAUUGGGCGUAAAGAGCUCGUAGGCGGUUUGUCGCGUCUGCUGUGAAAACGCGAGGCUCAACCUCGCGCCUGCAGUGGGUACGGGCAGACUGGAGUGCGGUAGGGGAGAUUGGAAUUCCUGGUGUAGCGGUGAAAUGCGCAGAUAUCAGGAGGAACACCGGUGGCGAAGGCGGGUCUCUGGGCCGAUACUGACGCUGAGGAGCGAAAGCGUGGGGAGCGAACAGG